GUUGCUAGAAGCUGUCAGCCAAUCAGUUGUCCAUCAGUCGAGAGCUAUUCCUCAGGAGAUCCAGCAGCAUGGAGGUCACUGUUUAAAAACAAACCCAGUUAAACCUCACAGAAGAAGGCUUCAAUUUUGGGGGCUUUAGUACUGAUAUGAGUACUAAAGUGGAAAAACAUGGAUACUCCACAGAAAUUCAUCACUGACAUUACCAUCCUGAAGCAGAAAAGCAUCUGGCUGGUGACAGACAAAGAGAGUCCCAGAUGACAGCAGGAAGUAGCACCAAUACAGUCAUCAAUGCACCACACACAAGGAAAAGGAAUUGUGAGAAGGAACGUGAUUCAGACUAGAAGAAGGAAUGUUCCACAAACCCCACAAAAAGACAGGUAUACCUAGGGCCUGUGUCAGUACUCAUUGCCACACCUCUUA
Molecule: non-coding RNA, 420 nt
Organism: Chiloscyllium plagiosum (whitespotted bambooshark)
Lineage: Eukaryota; Metazoa; Chordata; Chondrichthyes; Orectolobiformes; Hemiscylliidae
Source: RefSeq, a predicted model, not a curated record